This 931-nucleotide ribosomal RNA is filed under the name Salmonella enterica. RNAcentral describes it as "partial 23S ribosomal RNA". It matches the Rfam family "Bacterial large subunit ribosomal RNA", at positions 1228 to 2141 of the family's 2925-position model. Lineage: Bacteria; Pseudomonadati; Pseudomonadota; Gammaproteobacteria; Enterobacterales; Enterobacteriaceae. The record is from RNAcentral.
GUAGGGGAGCGUUCUGUAAGCCUGUGAAGGUGUGUCGUGAGGCAUGCUGGAGGUAUCAGAAGUGCGAAUGCUGACAUAAGUAACGAUAAAGCGGGUGAAAAGCCCGCUCGCCGGAAGACCAAGGGUUCCUGUCCAACGUUAAUCGGGGCAGGGUGAGUCGACCCCUAAGGCGAGGCCGAAAGGCGUAGUCGAUGGGAAACGGGUUAAUAUUCCCGUACUUGGUGUUACUGCGAAGGGGGGACGGAGAAGGCUAUGUUGGCCGGGCGACGGUUGUCCCGGUUUAAGCGUGUAGGUGUGUGUUCCAGGUAAAUCCGGUUCACUUUAACACUGAGGCGUGACGACGAGGCACUACGGUGCUGAAGCAACAAAUGCCCUGCUUCCAGGAAAAGCCUCUAAGCAUCAGGUAACAUCAAAUCGUACCCCAAACCGACACAGGUGGUCAGGUAGAGAAUACCAAGGCGCUUGAGAGAACUCGGGUGAAGGAACUAGGCAAAAUGGUGCCGUAACUUCGGGAGAAGGCACGCUGACACGUAGGUGAAGUGAUUUACUCAUGGAGCUGAAGUCAGUCGAAGAUACCAGCUGGCUGCAACUGUUUAUUAAAAACACAGCACUGUGCAAACACGAAAGUGGACGUAUACGGUGUGACGCCUGCCCGGUGCCGGAAGGUUAAUUGAUGGGGUCAGCGCAAGCGAAGCUCCUGAUCGAAGCCCCGGUAAACGGCGGCCGUAACUAUAACGGUCCUAAGGUAGCGAAAUUCCUUGUCGGGUAAGUUCCGACCUGCACGAAUGGCGUAAUGAUGGCCAGGCUGUCUCCACCCGAGACUCAGUGAAAUUGAACUCGCUGUGAAGAUGCAGUGUACCCGCGGCAAGACGGAAAGACCCCGUGAACCUUUACUAUAGCUUGACACUGAACAUUGAGCCUUGAUGUGUAG